UGGGUCUCGCUCGUUACCUGACUUAACAGGAUGCUUCACAGUACGAACUGACGACGGCCAUGCACCACCUCUCAGCUAAUCCGGCAAAGUCUUCAGCCUGGCCUUCAUAUUGCUGUCGGUCCCGGUAAGAUUUCCGGCGUUGAAUCCAAUUAAACCGCAAGCUCCACCCGUUGUGGUGCUCCCCCGCCAAUUCCUUUAAGUUUCAGCCUUGCGGCCGUACUUCCCAGGUGGCUCGCUUCACGGCUUCCCUACGGCACCGACAACGGUCGCACCGUGGCCGACACCUAGCGAGUAUCGUUUACGGCUAGGACUACCCGGGUAUCUAAUCCGGUUCGUGCCCCUAGCUUUCGUCCCUUGCCGUCAGGUCCGUUCUGGUGAGACGCCUUCGCCACUGGUGGUCCUUCAAGGAUUACAAGAUUUCACCCCUACCCCUGAAGUACCUCUCACCUCUCCCGGCCUCGAGCCAGACAGUAUCUCCUGAAAGCCUGACAGUUAAGCUGCCAGAUUUCUCAAGAGACUUAUCCGGCCGGCUACAGACCCUUUAGACCCAAUAAUAACGGUUACCACUCGAGCCGCCGGUGUUACCGCGGCGGCUGGCACCGGUCUUGCCCGGCCCUUGCUAUGAAAUGCUUUUUAGGCAUCUCGACAGCCAGAUUUGUAACCUGGCACUCGAGGUUCCCUUAUCGCUGUUGCCAGCAUUGUAAAGUUUUCGCGCCUGCUGCACCCCGUAGGGCCUGGAUUCGUGUCUCAGAAUCCAUCUCCGGGCUCUUGCUCUCACAACCCGUACCCGUCGUAGGCUAGUAGGUACGCUACACCCACUACUACCUGAUAGGCCGCAGACCCAUCCUUAGGCGCCGGAGCUUUUAAUCUCGGUGCAUUCCAGCAGCCGAGACUUAUAGGGGAUUAUACCCAGUUUCCCGGGUUUAUACCCAACCUAAGGGCAGGUUGUCCACGUGUUACUGAGCAGUACGCCAUGUAUUGCUACAUUCGACUCGCAUGGCUUAGUCGAACCUCGAUAGCAGUAACCUCUGGCAGGAUCAACCGGA
Molecule: ribosomal RNA, 1046 nt
Filed under: unidentified archaeon
Lineage: Archaea
Description: 16S ribosomal RNA
Source: RNAcentral